This 255-nucleotide ribosomal RNA is filed under the name uncultured bacterium. RNAcentral's name for it is "partial 16S ribosomal RNA". It matches the Rfam family "Bacterial small subunit ribosomal RNA", at positions 524 to 776 of the family's 1533-position model. The record is from RNAcentral.
UACGAAGGGGGCUAGCGUUGUUCGGAAUUACUGGGCGUAAAGCGCGCGCAGGCGGUUCGAUAAGUUGGGGGUGAAAUCCCCGGGCUCAACCCGGGGAAUGGCCUUCAAGACUGUCGAUCUUGAGGACGAGAGAGGUGAGUGGAAUUCCCAGUGUAGAGGUGAAAUUCGUAGAUAUUGGGAAGAACACCGGUGGCGAAGGCGGCUCACUGGCUCGUUUCUGACGCUGAGGAGCGAAAGCGUGGGGGAGCGAACAGG